GCCUAGUUAGCUUAGUUGGUAGUGCGUCUGCCUUGUAAGCGCUAGGCCGUGGGUUCAAUUCCCGCCUGGGGUG
Molecule: transfer RNA, 73 nt
Filed under: Diaphorina citri (Asian citrus psyllid)
Lineage: Eukaryota; Metazoa; Arthropoda; Insecta; Hemiptera; Psyllidae
Rfam family: tRNA
About the family: Transfer RNA (tRNA) molecules are approximately 80 nucleotides in length. Their secondary structure includes four short double-helical elements and three loops (D, anti-codon, and T loops).
Source: Rfam by way of RNAcentral